UGUAAUUCUGUAUAAUCCCUGAGGGGGAAAGAUUUAUUGGCAGGAGAUGGGCCCAUGUUUGAUUAGGUAGUUGGUGUGGUAAUGGCCUACCAAGCCAGUGAUCGGUAGCUGGUUUGAGAGGAUGAUCAGCCACACUGGAACUGAGACACGGUCCAGACUCCUACGGGAGGCAGCAGUGGGGAAUAUUAGACAAUGGGGGCAACCCUGAUCCAGCCAUGCCGCGUGAGUGAGAAGACCUUAGGGUUUGAAACGCCCG
Molecule: ribosomal RNA, 256 nt
Filed under: Anaplasma phagocytophilum
Lineage: Bacteria; Pseudomonadati; Pseudomonadota; Alphaproteobacteria; Rickettsiales; Anaplasmataceae
Description: partial 16S ribosomal RNA
Rfam family: Bacterial small subunit ribosomal RNA
Source: RNAcentral